GUCUUCCAUUCGUUGCUGGGAGCUAGAUCAGUUUCAUUCAGCUUCUGCCUACAAGGCCUUUAGAUAUGUGCUUGUGAAUCUUUCCUGCCUUCUCUGCGUCUUCCAUGCGACGCAGGUUGUUUGACCUGGGGUGUGGGGCCGGGGUCUGCCCUAGAGGAACCAGAGGGAUCACAUCCACCCCUGCUCAGAACCAACAAGGCCCAAGGACAACAUCAGAACCAACAAGGCCCAAGGACAUCAUCAUUCCCUUUGCUUCCCAGAAACCUCAGCUUUUCCUCUUUUCAAACGGGUGUAAGGACAUCUGCCUGGACUUCCUUGCUCAGUGGUGUGAGCACAAGAGUCCUCAAAUGGAAAGGUCCUGGCUCCUUAGGGUCCUCCGUCCUCAGAAGCACCCCAAAGGCCCAGUCCCCACAGAC
RNAcentral lists this long non-coding RNA (416 nucleotides) under Fukomys damarensis (Damara mole-rat). RNAcentral's name for it is "lncRNA (ENSFDAG00000029442.1)". The record is from RNAcentral. Lineage: Eukaryota; Metazoa; Chordata; Mammalia; Rodentia; Bathyergidae.